This 848-nucleotide ribosomal RNA is filed under the name Pantoea vagans. RNAcentral describes it as "bacterial SSU rRNA". It matches the Rfam family "Bacterial small subunit ribosomal RNA", at positions 41 to 882 of the family's 1533-position model. The record is from RNAcentral. Lineage: Bacteria; Pseudomonadati; Pseudomonadota; Gammaproteobacteria; Enterobacterales; Erwiniaceae.
GAUGAGCGCCUAAAUGCAGAUCGGACGGUAGCACAGAGAGCUUGCUCUCGGGUGACGAGUGGCGGACGGGUGAGUAAUGUCUGGGGAUCUGCCCGAUAGAGGGGGAUAACCACUGGAAACGGUGGCUAAUACCGCAUAACGUCGCAAGACCAAAGAGGGGGACCUUCGGGCCUCUCACUAUCGGAUGAACCCAGAUGGGAUUAGCUAGUAGGCGGGGUAAUGGCCCACCUAGGCGACGAUCCCUAGCUGGUCUGAGAGGAUGACCAGCCACACUGGAACUGAGACACGGUCCAGACUCCUACGGGAGGCAGCAGUGGGGAAUAUUGCACAAUGGGCGCAAGCCUGAUGCAGCCAUGCCGCGUGUAUGAAGAAGGCCUUCGGGUUGUAAAGUACUUUCAGCGGGGAGGAAGGCGAUGUGGUUAAUAACCGCGUCGAUUGACGUUACCCGCAGAAGAAGCACCGGCUAACUCCGUGCCAGCAGCGCGGUAAUACGGAGGGUGCAAGCGUUAAUCGGAAUUACUGGGCGUAAAGCGCACGCAGGCGGUCUGUUAAGUCAGAUGUGAAAUCCCCGGGCUUAACCUGGGAACUGCAUUUGAAACUGGCAGGCUUGAGUCUUGUAGAGGGGGGUAGAAUUCCAGGUGUAGCGGUGAAAUGCGUAGAGAUCUGGAGGAAUACCGGUGGCGAAGGCGGCCCCCUGGACAAAGACUGACGCUCAGGUGCGAAAAGCGUGGGGAGCAAACAGGAUUAGAUACCCUGGUAGUCCACGCCGUAAACGAUGUCCACUUGGAGUUGUUCCCUUGAGGAGUGGCUUCCGGAGCUAACGCGUUAAGUCCACCGCCUGGGGAGUA